RNAcentral lists this long non-coding RNA (409 nucleotides) under Mytilus galloprovincialis (Mediterranean mussel). The record is from RNAcentral. Lineage: Eukaryota; Metazoa; Mollusca; Bivalvia; Mytilida; Mytilidae.
AAAAAUCUGAAGUAACAGAUAUUUUUAGUAUUCGCAAAGUAUGAAGUCAUAGGUAAAAAUAAACAUGAACAUGAACAAUUACUUAAGGAGAUAUGGUUCAAAUAAAAGGUAUCUUGAACGAGGUCCUUUUUAAACAUCAAAAUGAGUGCAGUUGAUCGUAAUAUUAGGUUUCAAAUAUUUGGUUCCCCAUUAUAAACAAUGAGGGAAGAUAUUUCUUAUCGAGGGAAAAUGUCGACGAGACAAAAUCCCAACUAAAGAGCAAAAAUAAGAGCCCCAGGCCACUUGCUCAAAGGUACUAGUCUACUCGGGUAGGCAAAAUAAAUGAUUAAAUCACUCUAAAAAAAGAUGUUUACAGCAUUUGCAGCAUAUCUUUUUUUGUUUUUGUUGUAGUUGUUCAAAUAAAAGACUA